Molecule: RNA transcript, 477 nt
Organism: Camelina sativa (false flax)
Lineage: Eukaryota; Viridiplantae; Streptophyta; Magnoliopsida; Brassicales; Brassicaceae
Gene name: BTB/POZ domain-containing protein At1g01640-like
Source: RefSeq, a predicted model, not a curated record
GUCAUCAUUAUUCAUCAAAGUAAAAGUCAAGAAGAAAAAAAAAAAAAAAGAGUCACACUUUUAAAAGUUGAAAAAAAAAGAGAGUAUCUGCUCCGGUCCGAUCAUCGUACUGAAGGGAGAGUACAGAGUACUUCUUAUACCUAAUUUGAGUGAAUUAAGACGAUCUCUCGCUACUCUCAGCUGAAUUAAAACAUAAAAAUCAAUGGCAGAAGAAGCAGCGGAUAAGGCAGCUUUUCUCGGUGGUCUUGUUGUUACAUUCAAGGAGCAAAUCCACACUGAUGUUCUUGUUAAGCCUGGUCAGCAUGGCUCACCCAUACCUACUCACAAAGCCGUUCUGGCGGCAAGAUCAAAGGUCUUCAGGAACAUGUUAGAUUCUGAUGAAUGCAAAACCUCCUCCGAGGAAUCUAUCACUCUCCCGGAUUUGACCCACGAAGAGCUCCAUACAAUCAAUACAGAGCCCUCUAUUUGGCUGCCGAU